CCCUGGUUAGCUCAGUUGUUAGAGCGCUCCACUUGUAAUGGAGAGGUCCCGGGUUCGAUACCCGGACCAGGCG
Molecule: transfer RNA, 73 nt
Filed under: Ixodes scapularis (black-legged tick)
Lineage: Eukaryota; Metazoa; Arthropoda; Arachnida; Ixodida; Ixodidae
Rfam family: tRNA
About the family: Transfer RNA (tRNA) molecules are approximately 80 nucleotides in length. Their secondary structure includes four short double-helical elements and three loops (D, anti-codon, and T loops). Further hydrogen bonds mediate the characteristic L-shaped molecular structure. tRNAs have two regions of fundamental functional importance: the anti-codon, which is responsible for specific mRNA codon recognition, and the 3' end, to which the tRNAs corresponding amino acid is attached (by aminoacyl-tRNA synthetases). tRNAs cope with the degeneracy of the genetic code in two manners: having more than one tRNA (with a specific anti-codon) for a particular amino acid; and 'wobble' base-pairing, i.e. permitting non-standard base-pairing at the 3rd anti-codon position.
Source: Rfam by way of RNAcentral